CCCUGCCCUUAAAGUCUGGGAUACCAUUUGGAAACAGAUGCUAAUACCGGAUAAAAAGCUACUUUCGCAUGAAAGAAGUUUAAAAAAGGACGGCGUAAAGCUGUCGCUAAAGGAUGGACCUGCGAUGCAUUAGCUAGUUGGUAAGGUAACGGCUUACCAAGGCGAUGAUGCAUAGCCGAGUUGAGAGACUGAUCGGCCACAUUGGGACUGAGACACGGCCCAAACUCCUACGGGAGGCAGCAGUAGGGAAUCUUCCACAAUGGACGCAAGUCUGAUGGAGCAACGCCGCGUGAGUGAAGAAGGUUUUCGGAUCGUAAAGCUCUGUUGUUGGUGAAGAAGGAUAGAGGUAGUAACUGGCCUUUAUUUGACGGUAAUCAACCAGAAAGUCACGGCUAACUACGUGCCAGCAGCCGCGUAAAU
This 420-nucleotide ribosomal RNA is filed under the name uncultured Lactobacillus sp. RNAcentral's name for it is "bacterial SSU rRNA". It matches the Rfam family "Bacterial small subunit ribosomal RNA", at positions 124 to 524 of the family's 1533-position model. Lineage: Bacteria; Bacillati; Bacillota; Bacilli; Lactobacillales; Lactobacillaceae. The record is from RNAcentral.